RNA transcript from Octodon degus (degu), 721 nucleotides. It is a transcript of the gene named clathrin light chain A pseudogene, with no coding region annotated. Lineage: Eukaryota; Metazoa; Chordata; Mammalia; Rodentia; Octodontidae. The transcript has a single exon. The record is from RefSeq and is a predicted model, not a curated record.
AUGGCUGAGCUAGAUGGGUUCGGCGCCCAGGCCGGCCCCGCGCUGGGGAACCGGGUGGCUGGCGAGGAAGACCCGGCCGCGGCCUUCCUGGCGCAGCAGGAAAGCAAGAUUGCGGGCAUCGAGAACAACGAGGCCUUCGCCGUCCUGGACGGCGGUGCCCCUGGGCCCCAGCCCCACGGUGAGCCGGGGGUGGGGGAUGGGGAGGAGGGGGUGUUCCAGAUGCUGUUGAUGGAGUGAUGAAUGGAGAAUACUAUCAGGAGAGUAAUGGUCCAACAGACAGUUAUGCAGCUAUUUCAUAAGUGGAUCAAUUGCAGUCAGAACCUGAAAGUAUCUGUAAAUGGAGAGAAGAGCAAACCAAGCGUUUAGAAGCCCUUGAUGCCAAUUCUCGGAAGCAAGAAGCAGAGUGGAAAGAAAAAGCAAUAAAAGCACUAGAAGAGUGGUAUGCACAGCAGGACGAGCAGUUACAAAAGUCAAAAGCAAACAACAGGGCAGCAGAAGAAGCCUUUGUAAAUGACAUUGAUGAGUCAUCCCCAGGCACAGAGUGGGAAUGGGUGGCCCGGCUGUGUGACUUUAACCCUAAGUCCAGCAAGCAGACCAAAGAUGUCUCCCGCAUGCGUUCAGUCCUCAUCUCCCUCAAGCAGGCCCCCCUGGUGCACUGAAGAGCCAUCCUUGGAGACACUACAUCUUCAGUAUCUUAAUCCUACUCAGUAAAGCUGUUCAC